RNAcentral lists this microRNA (23 nucleotides) under Magallana gigas (Pacific oyster). RNAcentral describes it as "Mgi-Novel-3_5p* (star (passenger))". The record is from RNAcentral. Lineage: Eukaryota; Metazoa; Mollusca; Bivalvia; Ostreida; Ostreidae.
AGCCAAUGAUGACAGAGCUGUCU